RNAcentral lists this ribosomal RNA (253 nucleotides) under uncultured bacterium. RNAcentral describes it as "partial 16S ribosomal RNA". It matches the Rfam family "Bacterial small subunit ribosomal RNA", at positions 524 to 776 of the family's 1533-position model. The record is from RNAcentral.
UACGAAGGGGGCUAGCGUUGCCCGGAAUCACUGGGCGUAAAGGGUGCGUAGGCGGGUCUUUAAGUCAGGGGUGAAAUCCUGGAGCUCAACUCCAGAACUGCCUUUGAUACUGAGGAUCUUGAGUCCGGGAGAGGUGAGUGGAACUGCGAGUGUAGAGGUGAAAUUCGUAGAUAUUCGCAAGAACACCAGUGGCGAAGGCGGCUCACUGGCCCGGUACUGACGCUGAGGCACGAAAGCGUGGGGAGCAAACAGG